UCCUUCCCCUCUUUCUCAAUCUCUCUAUUUAUUGGAGUAUUAUGCGAGAAAAAACAUUCCAAAUUUAUCCAAGAGAAUUAUGACGAAUCUCUCUCAAAAGUCUCAAUUAAAUUAACUUUGUUUUCCUUCUUGAUGCAGCUAGCUAGCUUAUCAAAUUGACAAACUCAAGAAGAUAUUGUGGUUCUUUCAACUUCAAUAGAAGAGCCAGUUUGUCCUUCUCAAGCUCUAGUACUCCUGUGCAGAAUAUAAAGCUAAUUAAGAUGUACCCUUCAAGCAAUUACAGCCCCAAUAUUCCCUCCUCUUUAUACCACAUAUCAUCUCCUUUUAUGCAAUACGAACACGAAUUCUUCCCAUAUAUCCAUGACCAUAAUCUCUUUCAAAUAGCUCAUGAUCAAAAUAAUCUCGAUACCAUGGCAGAAGAUUCUAAGAAAUUAGAUAAACAUGAACAAGAUGAAGAAUUAGUACUAAAAGACUGCAACAAGAAAGAUGAUACGAGCAGUACAAUGACUAGUACUAUUCGUAAAAAAAACAACAAGAGAGUUGCUGCUGCUGGUGCUGCUACAAAGAAAGAUAGACACAGCAAGAUUAACACAGCUCACGGUCCUAGAGACCGAAGAAUGAGACUUUCCCUUGAAGUUGCUCGCAAAUUCUUCAAUUUGCAAGACUUGCUCCGGUUCGAUAAGGCCAGCAAAACUGUGGAGUGGUUGCUUACAAAGUCAAAAUCAGCAAUCAACGAGCUCAUCGAGAAAAUAAACAAAGAGAACUUCACCAGUACUCCUAUUAGUGCAUCGUCUGCCUCCGAGUCAUGUGAAGUUAUAUCGGGAGUAAUUGACGAAUCUGCAGCCACUAAUAAUGACACUCAUAAGCAACAUAAAAAAAAGGUUAAGUCGAUUCGUAGAGCUGCAUUAAUUCAUCCGGUUGUUGCAAAGGAAUCAAGGAAGCAAGCAAGAGCAAGGGCAAGGGAAAGAGCAGCACAAAGAAAGAAAAGCCUUAAUAGUAUUUGUGAAACUAUGGCCGAUUUCCUUGAAGAUCAUCAAUCAGGUAAUUAUCAAGGCUAUAAUACUAACAAUAUUAUGAAUCAUCAUCAUAAUGGGAAGCAGCAUAUUUUGGGUACUCAGGAGAAUGUUGUUGAUAACUCUAAUUUAUUUGUGGUGGAUACUGGCAACUGGAGCCCGUUUACUAUCACCAACCAUCACCCCAUGAAUACUGAAAUUUCUCAAGAGCAUCAAUUUACGAACUUCCAGUAUUCUGGGAAGUUAUGGGAAGCUUAGGGCAAGGAAUUAAAUUCUCUGCGGCAACGUAUUCUUCUUAAUUUAGUGCAACUCCAGAAGGAAGGCUAUUUGGUCCUGUUGAUGUUUGGAUAGCUGUCCCACUCAUAUCUAUUCUGAUGAAGUUUCUAAAGGAUUGCAAGACUGUUAUCUGUAUUCCUUCCAUGAUAAGAUGCCACAUAGAGGACGAGAUAUUUUCAGCAUGCUGCUAUUAUAGUAGUAGAAGUUAAGAUUCAACAAUCUUAUAAUACUACACAAUCCAAAGUUAUAUUUAAUAAAUCAAAAUAUGCAUGACAAACCGCAUGCAUUUAUUACUUUAUCCCAUUCAUUUAUUAAACAAUCAUGUAUUUAGCGUAAACAUAUGAAGAGUGAACUUGAGGUGAGAUUAGAUAUCUAGUAUAUAUCAAUGUUCCAGGAGAAUGAUAUGAUAACUAGUUUCAAUGUUCCAAAAGAAUGAUAUGAUAGAUGAAAAUGUUACACAGAGAAUUAAAAUAGUAAGAAUAGUUGAAAUAUUGAAGUGCUACUUGAGUGUUAUUUGAUAGAAGUGAUAUCCAACAAAAGUGAUGAAAGUAAAGUUCUAGAUAGGAGUAAAAUCACCAUUAUUGUUGUAUGGAAGUAAAAGUUUGGCCUCUAAAGUCCAACAUAUCCAUAAGAUGAAUGUCAUAGAAAUAUGAAUGCUACCAUGGAUGUGUUGUCAUAGAAGAUUGUAAGAAUGGUUGAAAUAGAGAAGUGCUACUAGAGUGUUAUUUGAUAGGAGUAAAAUCACCAUUAUUGUUGUAUAGGAGUAAAAGUUUAGCCUCUAAAGUCCAACCUAUCCAUAAGAUGAAUGUCAUAGAAAUAUGAAUGAUGCUACUAUGGAUAUGUUGUCAUAGAAGAUAGACAAACUAAAAGAGGAUCAGACCACAUUCGACAAAAGGUGUAAGUAGUACACAGGAUAAAAUGAGAGGAAGUUCACUUGAGAUAGUUCAGUCAUGUCCAACAUUGUCUUCUAGAAGCACUGUCGCGUAGGUGUGAAAGUGUUAAAAGGGAACAACAUUGAUAGUGAGAAUUUCAGUCCAAUAUUUACUAUGAGUCUAUUAGACUUUCCUGAUACGUAUAUUCUAGUAAAAGUGAAGAGAACUUCUGAGUACUAGAGAAACUAAUUUUAUAACAUUGGACCGAUAUAAGCUUAAACGGAACGACAUGAUAGUGAGAAUUUAUGUAAUCUAUCUGAACUUACUUGGCAUGAAAUUGAUGAGAUGUAGUAGUAGUUCUUAUAUUUAGCGCCGGCAUACAGUUCAAACGAAGUCUGUAAGGUUAAGAUAACAUAAUUCAUUUAGAGCCCUAGAGGAUGUUUUAUCUUUAGAAUUAAGCCAUCAAAAUUAAUUUCCAGAAUUUUGAAAUCGCUAUAGAUAGAGGCCUUUUCAAAUAAUUCUCCAUGUAACAUUUGAUGUAUGUUAGUGCAGGAACUCCAAAUCAUCACUAACCUCCACACCCACCCUUUGUUUCAUUGUUUCUUGCCUUUGUAUGGCAAAUCUAAAGGAAUAAAACGAUACUAGUAGUAAUUAUAGCACUGCUAAAUUAGUUUCUCUACUACAUAAUUAUCAUUCCAUUCUCCUUUAGUUUAUUCUUGUUCGAAGAAGUAUAAAUGAUUGCACUUCUAUGAAUGAUAACUGAUGAAAUGGUCAUAAAUAUGGCAUCAUUACCAUAAUUCUAUUAUAUCUCUCUACUGAUUUAAAGAGAUUCUUUGGUUUGAGUGGUGCAUUUCUGAGCUUUCAGUAAUUGGCAUUAGUUUGUAGUCGACCAUAAAUAUAACAAAA
Molecule: RNA transcript, 3067 nt
Organism: Lycium barbarum (goji berry)
Lineage: Eukaryota; Viridiplantae; Streptophyta; Magnoliopsida; Solanales; Solanaceae
Gene name: transcription factor CYCLOIDEA-like
Exons: 3
Source: RefSeq, a predicted model, not a curated record